Molecule: ribosomal RNA, 248 nt
Filed under: Platypelis sp. Ca11 MV-2020
Lineage: Eukaryota; Metazoa; Chordata; Amphibia; Anura; Microhylidae
Description: partial large subunit ribosomal RNA
Rfam family: Bacterial large subunit ribosomal RNA
Source: RNAcentral
GAAACUAAGCGAGCUACUCUAAAGCAACUUCACAGAACCAACCCGUCCCUGUAGCAAAAGGGUGGGAAGACUUUAAAGUAGAGGUGACACGCCUACCGAGCCUAGAGAUAGCUGGUUAUUCAGGAAAAGGAUUUAAGUCCAUUUUUAAGUUUUUUUAGUUUAACAAAACAUUUGAUAAGCUUAAAAACCAUUCAAACAAGGGACAGCCUGUUUGAAAAAGGGCACAGCCUACAGCUCAGGGUAAUGAC